UCGAGGAUCUUCGGCAAUGGGCGCAAGCCUGACCGAGCGACGCCGCGUGUGCGAUGAAGGCCUUCGGGUUGUAAAGCACUUUAGUGGGGGAGAAAAGCGCAAGCUUGAUCUAUCCCAAGAAUAAGCACGGGCUAAGUUCGUGCCAGCAGCCGCGGUAAGACGAACCGUGCGAACGUUGUUCGGAAUCACUGGGCUUAAAGGGCGCGUAGGCGGCCUGCCAAGUCCGGGGUGAAAGCCUCCAGCUUAACUGGAGAAGUGCCCUGGAUACUGGCGGGCUCGAGGGAGGCAGGGGUCGUGGGAACUUCCGGUGGAGCGGUGAAAUGCGUUGAUAUCGGAAGGAACGCCGGUGGCGAAAGCGCACGACUGGUCCUCUUCUGACGCUGAGGCGCGAAAGCCAGGGGAGCAAACGG
This 410-nucleotide ribosomal RNA is filed under the name uncultured bacterium. RNAcentral's name for it is "bacterial SSU rRNA". It matches the Rfam family "Bacterial small subunit ribosomal RNA", at positions 355 to 775 of the family's 1533-position model. The record is from RNAcentral.